This 125-nucleotide small RNA is filed under the name Marmota monax (woodchuck). Lineage: Eukaryota; Metazoa; Chordata; Mammalia; Rodentia; Sciuridae. The record is from RNAcentral.
GCCAGGAGUGGUGGCGCAUGCCUGUAAUCCCAGCGGCUCAGGAGGCUGAGACAGGAGAAUCUCCAGUUCAAAGCCAGCCUCAGUAAUAUCAAAGCACUAAGCAACUCAGUGAGACCCUGACUCUA